Molecule: long non-coding RNA, 4558 nt
Organism: Pseudopipra pipra
Lineage: Eukaryota; Metazoa; Chordata; Aves; Passeriformes; Pipridae
Exons: 2
Source: RefSeq, a predicted model, not a curated record
CUUACUAAACAGCAGAAAUCAGCUUUUACAAUUUCUAAAUACCAAGUUUUGUCACUCUCGGAGCUGCCUAAGGAUAACACAGCUUGCCUUCAGCUUCAUAAAUAACACAUACUCUGCACAUUUCUUCGCCUGGGUGAAAUAAAUUCUCCCAUGUUCUUAUAUGGAAACCUUGUGAGUCCUCCCACGUAGCGCCUGGUACAAUAUUCAGGCAGCGAUGGGCAUUCAUUAUCUUAAAGCCAGCGGGUGAAUUUCGGAUACAAGUUACCCCCAGACGAACCCAAAAUUAUCACCCCUUCACACCACGCUGAGCUCAGUAACCUGCUCUGUGCAGUCCCUGCAUUUUAUUUCCAAGCCCCAAUCACAACUUUGAUUUCAGCAUCAAACCAACGAAAUAAAUGGAAAACGAAGGGAAUAAAAAGGAAAACGAGGGAAACAGCAAGAAAGCAUCAGCAGCAUUAUUACCCACCAGAGCGCCCUUCUCGCAGUCAAAGCAUCCCACGGCGCUGUCACCAGCUCUGCCCGUCGCUGCGCCCGGGCCCUGGCUCUGAUCUUCCGCGGCCACUUUUCUUCCCGGGAAACUGUACUCUGGACCCGGUGCCGCCCUGCCAGGCUUUGGAGGCGUUUGGUCUCGGCAGCCGUGUGCUGCUGGAGAAGGCAGCACGGGAGCGUGGCCUGGCAGGUGCCUGGGCGGCCGGGAUCUCCUUGCUCUGCUCUGCCGCCUCCCAAAAGCGCAGUCCCCGACACCGGGCAGUCCCAGUCGCAGCUGGAGAACAAAGUACGGCCGGGGCGAUCGGCAGGGAAAAUGAGCAGGGCAACGUUUUGUCUUGCGUUGGGUUUCACAGAACCGAAAGCUGGUGCUUUUCCCCUGCAGGCGAACGGGUAUAUGACUCAAAUAUGUCCUCGCUCUCCUACCUGCAUCCCCUCUGGUUCUCUUAAUGAAAGGGUCCAGCAGCACACAGAGUCGUGAGGAAUUUUCAUAUAACCCCUGCUGAAGACUUAGUAAGAUCCUCUGUACUGCAAAAUACCGUUUGCAUUGUGGGAGCAGAGUAGUGGUGAAAGGAUAUUUUGGGCCAUCUGUGUUUCGCAGAAGUCCCGCGGCACUAACGACACUGGGAACAGCAGAGAUGCACCAAAAAAGAGUGAACAGUCCCCACAGCUCUGCUCUCCAGGCUUUCCUGGAUACAAGAUGCUACCUUCCUACACCACAAACUAGGACAGCAGUCAUUGGGAGCCCACCUCUGGAGCCCGUUGCCUAUGCACAGGCUUCUGGGGGAACAAAUUCCAUCACAGCACCCUCCAGGGAGGUCUCUAGAAAAGGCUGAUUUCCUUAGUUGGUUCUUGCAAAAGCUGCACCCCUUCUGCACACUCCUUGCUGGCAGUACAGGAUGCCAAACACACUGUGCCACAGUCACACAUCCAAUUGCCCUGACUGCAGUGCCCAUGUGAUUUUCCAGUAUCUGAGCAGAUUUCCAAAGUGAGUAGGUUUUUAGCCGAAAAAGAGAUAGAAGUAUAGGAUAUAUGCAGCUAAUUGAUGUCAUAUCUCCACCGAACAGCCUGGUUUAAACUUGUAACGAUGUAGUCCAUGCUGCCACCUACGUCUUCUGAUUCAGCUUUCUUGUGUACUGCAGCUUCGAUUCGUAGGCAUCCUUCAGAAGGCAGCUCACAUUUUGUGAGACUCCACGAGGGACUACAAACACAGGCAAGCUCUGGCUACACUAGGGAAUGAGGCAAAACGUUUCUCACUGGUGCAGCCACUUGUUUGGUUGCAGUGAGGAUGCCUUGAUGCAGAUUAGGAACAAGCAGUCACAUCGGUGAAAUGUAAGUAGCGGCUGGAGCCUUGUCUGUAUGAAGGAUCCUGCCAGCACAGCUGUACCAGUGACAGCAGUGGAAUAUUUUGCUCAAGUUCUCUAGGGGAAUCAAAGCCUGUAUUUUGUGUCUGGCUUUCUCUGUUCUGUUGCUCCUCACUCAUUAAAAGUCAGACACACAAAGCACAUGGUUGCUCUCUGUGUUUAAAAAAAAAUAUGUUUGGGGUAAAAAACCAGCAGCCAAAGCUGUUUUGAAGUCAGAAGCAUGUACACAGUACCUGGAACUAAGUGGAAGAAUAAUAAUAAUAAUUAGUCCUUUUGUGUCAUAGAUAUGCACAUGGCUGUUUGCUAUUUCAUUAUGAGACAGCACAACUUCUGAGAAUGUGCCUGAUGAAUAUUUGGGGGAACUCUGCCUUCAGCUGCAGCAGUGUAUGGCAGCACUAAUGCCUUUGGCUCCUCCACUCUCUUAUGUAACUGAAAUCACAAGUUGGAGCCCGAAUUACAAAGCAUAAGCAUGUGUAUAAUAUUAAGCGUACAAAUGGUGCCUGAAAUUACUGUCCUUUUCAUGUAGGUCUGGCUUUAAUCUGUUAGAAUUUUUGCUUCUGCGUAUCUAUUGACUUCGGCGUGUGCUGAUGCCAUUCACAGCGCAAUCAAGCCUAACCCCUUAAAAACCCCACUCUGAAGACAUUAACCCAAACCUAAACCAAGACAGUCCAAAAUCACUCUGGUUACAGGUAGGUGUACUUCAAAUGACCUGUGUACCAGACCUCGAGAGUAUCCAAUAUUAAGAAGCAGAAUACCCUAUCCAUGUGGCUGCUUUGGCGACCAGCCAGAGCGGCAGGUUUUUGCACCCCACCCCAAGGCACAAGUUAGUCAUCACCUUCCUUUGCAUUUUCCCUCUUUCUCAGAGACUAUUUUUGCCAUUACCAUGCUGAUCUACUUUCUAGAGUUUUAAGGUGUCGGGUGCUGAUACAGCGAGUGCCUCUUGUAUCUGUUUAAUCCGAUAACAUAACUCUUUUUUAAUCUCCACGUCUGGGUCACAGGGUUUAAAAAAGACACUGGGCCAAAUCCCCAGCUUGGCUACAACGUGUGGAAAUCUACUGAGAUGGCACGAAAGUCAGGAGAGAUUCGCUGUAUUUGCACCCGGUUAAAGAAGUCUCGAGAGGCAGGGAUGUGAGUGCCAGAUUUCACAGAUGGAUGCGUAUUAGCACAGGAGUAUGGCAGAGCCAGGUCAGGUUUCUAUCAGGUAAGGCAGAGGGAGGGAUAUCACACCAGGAUCUCAAAUAUGCUCGUCAGCAAAUUCUCAUUCAUUUUUAAAUUGAAACAGAUUUAAUAUUUCUUCACUUUUCAGGAGAACAGCUUGUUUUCACUGUGCGGCUGCUAAAGCGAACAUGAUGUUUCAUGGAGUCAGGACCAAGAUAGGGCAAGGACAAAGAGGAGGUUUUGCAGGGACUGGGGAGAUUUUACAUAUAAACAUUCAAGUUAAAAAGGCAAAAUUCAUCCAGGCAUGAAGUCCAGCAGAAAGCUAGGAGACAAAUGGACAGCAUUGUCUGCAAAGGACUGUGUAAGCAAAAAUGGCAAAAAGAUGGUCUGAAUAAGUCCCUUGCAUUAAUGAUUCUCUAGACAUGAAUUUCCUAUAUAAAGCUCUAUGGGGUCAACCUUUUUAGCAGAGGAUCCUGAGCUCGAAAAAGGAAGGCAGAUUUUGUAAGGGAUUUGCAUAUCAUGGAGUGACUGUGGAUUGCAGAUUUUAAGCAUUACUAAAUUGGGGAAUAAAUUGUUGCUGUUGUUGUUACAUACCAGGAUAUCUCACUAAUCCACCCAAUCCACUAAGUUGCUGUAGUUUUAGUCUGUGUUUAUUUUACAUGAAAUUAUGGCCUGGACAGUUAAUUUUUCUUAAUUUAUCCAUAUAAAUCAUAUAUAAAUAAAAUAUCAAACAGAAAUCAAAACAUGACCUGUGUUUUUGGUACACUCCCCAUCAUGUGAACCUGCCAGUGACGGAGCCCAGUGAUGCACCCAGUUUACAAGUCGAACACAAAGACAACUAAAACCCACAGGUCUUCUUGAAAAGUAGCCAACUGGCAUUAAAUUCUCUCAUUUUAAUGCUCUAGGUGGCCUAUUUUGCUUAUAUUUGAGACUGCCUAGCCAUUAUGGGAUUGCCUGCACUGGUCCUUCCCUUACAUCAAGCUAAUUACAUAUUAACUUGAGGCACUCAGCAAGUCUGAGAGGCUGGAGCUGGUCCUUUCUGAACACCAGUUGAGUUUGGAAAUGCCUGAUGUUUUACAGGGGUGGAUUCCCAAAGUGAGAGGCAAACACAGAGGAACCAAACAGUCUGGAACCAAAGUGGUCCUGCUGGCUUUUGAAAAAAGUGAGUGUCUCAAGUUAAUUGACAGUCAGCUACCUGGAAAUAAAAACCUCUCAUAUAUCCAAAGGUUUUCACCGGGAUUUUCAAGAGCUCCUGAGCAAUUUAAAAUUCUUGGAAGGAAUGCACUAUAGAAUGAAACAUGUAUGUAUUAUUAAAGAAUGUCUCCAAACUGAAAGCCAGCCAGUUUCAUAAAAGUGAGCUAAAAAAGCAAUAACAGGUACUCUGUCUCCUGCUGGAUGCUGUAUGAACCGUAUGUUUUGCAUUUUGGAAGUCGCUCUAAAGCAAUGUUUUUUCUUCACUGUUGCUAUUGGGAAGAACAGUAAAAGAACUAUGCAUAAAUGAGGUUAAAGUAAUCUAAUUAAAAAAAUAAACAAUGUGCUUUCAUCAUCAA